ACUUAAAUUGAAGAGUUUGAUCAUGGCUCAGAUUGAACGCUGGCGGCAGGCCUAACACAUGCAAGUCGAGCGGUAGCACAGAGAGCUUGCUCUCGGGUGACGAGCGGCGGACGGGUGAGUAAUGUCUGGGAAACUGCCUGAUGGAGGGGGAUAACUACUGGAAACGGUAGCUAAUACCGCAUAACGUCGCAAGACCAAAGUGGGGGACCUUCGGGCCUCAUGCCAUCAGAUGUGCCCAGAUGGGAUUAGCUAGUAGGUGGGGUAAUGGCUCACCUAGGCGACGAUCCCUAGCUGGUCUGAGAGGAUGACCAGCCACACUGGAACUGAGACACGGUCCAGACUCCUACGGGAGGCAGCAGUGGGGAAUAUUGCACAAUGGGCGCAAGCCUGAUGCAGCCAUGCCGCGUGUAUGAAGAAGGCCUUCGGGUUGUAAAGUACUUUCAGCGAGGAGGAAGGCAUUAAGGUUAAUAACCUUGGUGAUUGACGUUACUCGCAGAAGAAGCACCGGCUAACUCCGUGCCAGCAGCCGCGGUAAUACGGAGGGUGCAAGCGUUAAUCGGAAUUACUGGGCGUAAAGCGCACGCAGGCGGUCUGUCAAGUCGGAUGUGAAAUCCCCGGGCUCAACCUGGGAACUGCAUUCGAAACUGGCAGGCUAGAGUCUUGUAGAGGGGGGUAGAAUUCCAGGUGUAGCGGUGAAAUGCGUAGAGAUCUGGAGGAAUACCGGUGGCGAAGGCGGCCCCCUGGACAAAGACUGACGCUCAGGUGCGAAAGCGUGGGGAGCAAACAGGAUUAGAUACCCUGGUAGUCCACGCCGUAAACGAUGUCGACUUGGAGGUUGUGCCCUUGAGGCGUGGCUUCCGGAGCUAACGCGUUAAGUCGACCGCCUGGGGAGUACGGCCGCAAGGUUAAAACUCAAAUGAAUUGACGGGGGCCCGCACAAGCGGUGGAGCAUGUGGUUUAAUUCGAUGCAACGCGAAGAACCUUACCUACUCUUGACAUCCAGAGAACUUAGCAGAGAUGCUUUGGUGCCUUCGGGAACUCUGAGACAGGUGCUGCAUGGCUGUCGUCAGCUCGUGUUGUGAAAUGUUGGGUUAAGUCCCGCAACGAGCGCAACCCUUAUCCUUUGUUGCCAGCGAUUAGGUCGGGAACUCAAAGGAGACUGCCAGUGAUAAACUGGAGGAAGGUGGGGAUGACGUCAAGUCAUCAUGGCCCUUACGAGUAGGGCUACACACGUGCUACAAUGGCAUAUACAAAGAGAAGCGACCUCGCGAGAGCAAGCGGACCUCAUAAAGUAUGUCGUAGUCCGGAUUGGAGUCUGCAACUCGACUCCAUGAAGUCGGAAUCGCUAGUAAUCGUAGAUCAGAAUGCUACGGUGAAUACGUUCCCGGGCCUUGUACACACCGCCCGUCACACCAUGGGAGUGGGUUGCAAAAGAAGUAGGUAGCUUAACCUUCGGGAGGGCGCUUACCACUUUGUGAUUCAUGACUGGGGUGAAGUCGUAACAAGGUAACCGUAGGGGAACCUGCGGUUGGAUCACCUCCUUACCUUAAAGAA
Molecule: ribosomal RNA, 1554 nt
Filed under: Klebsiella aerogenes
Lineage: Bacteria; Pseudomonadati; Pseudomonadota; Gammaproteobacteria; Enterobacterales; Enterobacteriaceae
Description: 16S ribosomal RNA
Rfam family: Bacterial small subunit ribosomal RNA
Source: RNAcentral